This 253-nucleotide ribosomal RNA is filed under the name uncultured bacterium. Its description in RNAcentral is "partial 16S ribosomal RNA". It matches the Rfam family "Bacterial small subunit ribosomal RNA", at positions 524 to 776 of the family's 1533-position model. The record is from RNAcentral.
UACGUAGGGUGCGAGCGUUAAUCGGAAUUACUGGGCGUAAAGCGUGCGCAGGCGGUUUUGUAAGCCAGAUGUGAAAUCCCCGGGCUUAACCUGGGAGCUGCAUUGGUGACUGCAUCGCUCGAGUAUGGCAGAGGGGGGUAGAAUUCCACGUGUAGCAGUGAAAUGCGUAGAGAUGUGGAGGAAUACCGAUGGCGAAGGCAGCCCCCUGGGUCAAUACUGACGCUCAUGCACGAAAGCGUGGGGAGCAAACAGG